AGAGUUUGAUCCUGGCUCAGAACGAACGCUGGCGGCAGGCCUAACACAUGCAAGUCGAGCGCCCCGCAAGGGGAGCGGCGGACGGGUGAGUAACACGUGGGAAUUUUCCUCAAGGUACGGAACAACUCAGGGAAACUUGGGCUAAUACCGUAUGAUGCAGAGAUGCCAAAGAUUUAUCGCCUUGGGAUAAGCCCGCGUCAGAUUAGGUAGUUGGUGGGGUAACGGCCUACCAAGCCUGUGAUCUGUAGCUGGUCUGAGAGGACGAUCAGCCACAUUGGGACUGAGACACGGCCCAAACUCCUACGGGAGGCAGCAGUGGGGAAUCUUGCGCAAUGGACGAAAGUCUGACGCAGCCAUGCCGCGUGAAUGAUGAAGGUCUUAGGAUUGUAAAGUUCUUUAGCCUGUGACGAUGAUGACGGUAACAGGAGAAUAAGCCCCGGCUAACUUCGUGCCAGCAGCCGCGGUAAUACGAAGGGGGCUAGCGUUGUUCGGAAUUACUGGGCGUAAAGCGCGCGUAGGCGGUUAUGCAAGCCAGAGGUGAAAUGCCUGAGCUUAACUUGGGAAUUGCCUUUGGAACUGCAUGGCUUUGAGGACGAGAGAGGUGAGUGGAAUUCCCAGUGUAGAGGUGAAAUUCGUAGAUAUUGGGAAGAACACCGGUGGCGAAGGCGGCUCACUGGCUCGUUUCUGACGCUGUAGCGCGAAAGCGUGGGGAUCAAACAGGAUUAGAUACCCUGGUAGUCCACGCUGUAAACGAUGAGUGCUAGGCGUCGGCACGCUUGCGUGUCGGUGCCGCAGCUAAC
RNAcentral lists this ribosomal RNA (800 nucleotides) under uncultured bacterium. Its description in RNAcentral is "bacterial SSU rRNA". It matches the Rfam family "Bacterial small subunit ribosomal RNA", at positions 8 to 856 of the family's 1533-position model. The record is from RNAcentral.